Long non-coding RNA from Bradysia coprophila, 273 nucleotides. NCBI's taxonomy places the organism in Eukaryota, Metazoa, Arthropoda, Insecta, Diptera, Sciaridae. The record is from RefSeq and is a predicted model, not a curated record.
GCAUAGCAGGGUUAGCAUGAAAAAAGUGCCCCCAAAGGAACUAAAGCAUAUGAUACAUCAUUCGAAAGGUCUUGGCCUAGAACUACUUUUAGUGUAGGUAACAUCUGAGAUUUUUAUCAGAUUUUUUGGACCCUUAUUUAAGGGUGAAAAAAUUCAGAGAAAAAUUCUGCGAUUUUUUUUCGUACGUUGGAGGUACAGAACUAACUCGGUAUUUUGACCAUUGAUUGGUCUUAUGGACUGGACAUGUAUUUUGCAUAAUUUUUUCAGAUUUUU